Molecule: ribosomal RNA, 252 nt
Filed under: uncultured bacterium
Lineage: Bacteria
Description: partial 16S ribosomal RNA
Rfam family: Bacterial small subunit ribosomal RNA
Source: RNAcentral
UACGAGGGGGGCAAAUGUUGUUCGGAAUCACUGGGCGUAAAGGGAGCGUAGGCGGGUUUUAAGUCAGGGGUUUAAUCCCGGGGCCCAACCCCGGACCGGCACUUGAAACUGGAAAUCUUGAAUAGUGGAGAGGUCAGUGGAAUUGGGGGUGUAGCGGUGGAAUGCGUAGAGAUCCCCAAGAACACCAGUUGCGAAGGCGGCUGACUGGACACAUAUUGACGCUGAGGCUCGAAAGCGUGGGGAGCAAGCAGG